Molecule: long non-coding RNA, 202 nt
Filed under: Lathyrus oleraceus (garden pea)
Lineage: Eukaryota; Viridiplantae; Streptophyta; Magnoliopsida; Fabales; Fabaceae
Description: Pisum sativum (pea) long non-coding RNA (PSAT_LNC032950)
Source: RNAcentral
UAAAAAAAAAUGUACACCUGGUGAGUCGAAAACCCGAAAGGGUGGCUCAGGCAAAAAAGGGUAUCCCGGUGGAUUGAAAACCCAAAAGGGCGAUCCGCGCAAAAGUUAAGGAAUAAGCGAAUGACUGCAGUCUGAGUUCACCUGUGUUCCAUCACCGUUUCAUUCAAUCCGGCAAUCUUCGAAGGUUAAAGAUCGACUAAUC